GUUUCCAUGCUGGUCUGCGGCCUCCGUUACCCACCUGCUGAGGGCGAUCUUCUGGUGGAGCAGAAAGCCCCGCUCGUAGGGCCAGGGCAGGCCGGCCUCGAACCACUCUCGGCAGCGCAGCACGGGCGAGAUGCAGGCGGCGCCUGUCACGUAGCUGGAGGAGCCGCACUCGCCCAGGUCACACCGACAAAUCUGAAGCGGGUUUGCCAGGGGAGUGUACCCGUCUCCCCGGCCUGGGCCA
This 241-nucleotide small RNA is filed under the name Pan troglodytes (chimpanzee). Its description in RNAcentral is "processed transcript". The record is from RNAcentral. Lineage: Eukaryota; Metazoa; Chordata; Mammalia; Primates; Hominidae.